UACGUAGGGGGCUAGCGUUGUCCGGAAUCAUCGGGCGUAAAGCGCGUGUAGGCGGCCCGGUAAGUCCGCUGUGAAAGUCGGGGGCUCAACCCUCGAAUGCCGGUGGAUACUGUCGGGCUAGAGUACGGAAGAGGCGAGUGGAAUUCCUGGUGUAGCGGUGAAAUGCGCAGAUAUCAGGAGGAACACCCAUUGCGAAGGCAGCUCGCUGGGACGUUACUGACGCUGAGACGCGAAAGCGUGGGGAGCAAACAGG
This 253-nucleotide ribosomal RNA is filed under the name uncultured bacterium. RNAcentral's name for it is "partial 16S ribosomal RNA". It matches the Rfam family "Bacterial small subunit ribosomal RNA", at positions 524 to 776 of the family's 1533-position model. The record is from RNAcentral.